Molecule: long non-coding RNA, 1429 nt
Filed under: Macaca fascicularis (crab-eating macaque)
Lineage: Eukaryota; Metazoa; Chordata; Mammalia; Primates; Cercopithecidae
Description: lncRNA (ENSMFAG00000058753.1)
Source: RNAcentral
AAAGAAAAGUAGAAACUGCGCAAGAUAGCAAAGAAAGAUGAAACAAUGGGAAUGGUGGAGCAGCCCCAUUUCUCUCUACCCUCUUAGGACUCAAAAUCCCUGGACUUCACAUAACAAAGAAGCAUAGGAAGAUGCUGAAUGGUGAAGAGAAGACUGUGGCCACUCUAGAAUGACAAGGGGGUCAGUUCCCUCAGUUUCCUUACUAUCUCCCACGUGUCCCGUACAAGGCACUGCGGAAGCCUGCAUCCCUGAACCACCAGUAGUCACAGACAGCAAAACUCUGAGAAGAGCCUGUUCCGCAUAGCCAGAGGACAGGGGAAGGGAGGGUGGUCUAACAAAACAGACCUUUUGUCGGUACUCACUCUGCUCCAGCUAAACCAAGGAAACUGCCCUCCUCCCUUCCGAGGCUUCGAGAGCAGGCAGCAUGCUUCGGUUCCCCACCCAGAGGCUGGAGGUGUGCCUGAGAAGAGAGUUAAUCUUUCAUUUCCUGCGUGGCAGAAGCAGGUGGCACUUCAGUUCCCCUGCCAGGUGGUGCUGACAGCGCCUCAUGGGGAGCCGAUCUUCCACCCUCUGCCUGGUAGGAGCAGGUGGUGCUCUGACUUCUCUGCCAGGGUAGUGUCAGCAAGGCCCAGCUUAGGGCCGUUUCCAGCCCCCACCAGCCAUGAUGAGGUGGUGCUAGCAGGAGGCUAAUUACCAUUACACUUGACCCCUUCCAUCGCCAUCAUCCCCUGGUGGGGAGGUGAGCCUCCACACCUACUGGUGGCAAAUGAGGUAUGGAGGAGUGGAGCUAACUGACACUCCCCACCUCCCUACCCCUCCUCUGGUAUAAGUAGGGCCCAUGGGGGUGCUGAACUUCUGCUCCCGGAUGCAGCAACAAACUGGUGUGGCUUAGCCCUUGGCUUUCCCUUCCCUUGUGGUAGCUUGGCCCAGAGGGUAGCUGAUCUUACACAGAGGCAACAGAAAUGGUGAGUUGGAGCCACACUUUGGCUGGGAAGGUGUCAAUGAGCUGAACUCCCACCCCAUCUGUCUGCAACAAGGCAAUGUGAGUCAUCACCUGACUUUUGUCAGGGUGAUGGGGAAUGGGGGGCUAGCGGGUAGCUGAACAUGCAUGCCCACGCAUCCCUGGUAUUAAUACCUUUGUAGCAGGGAAGCUGCCCACUAAAAGAUUAAAUUGGAUCUAGGGUCUCUUAAUAUCAGAAACAUACAGGAUACAAUUCAUACAAAUUUAUACAAUUCCUGCAAAUCACUCAUACCAAGAUCCAGGAAUAUCACCUAUGAAUGAGAAAGGACCAUCAGCAGGUGCUACCUGAUUUAUCUGACAAGGAUUUGAAAGCUGCUAUGAUAAAAAUGUUUCAACAAGUUAUUACAAAUUAUUUUGAAACAAAACGUUAGAAAAUAUCAGCCAAGAAAUCAAAAUUAUUUAUUAAAA